AUUGAACGCUGGCGGCAUGCUUUACACAUGCAAGUCGAACGGCAGCGCGGGCUUCGGCCUGGCGGCGAGUGGCGAACGGGUGAGUAAUGCAUCGGAACGUGCCCAGUAGUGGGAGAUAGCCCGGCGAAAGCCGGAUUAAUACCGCAUACGACCUGAGGGUGAAAGCGGGGGACCGAAAGGCCUCGCGCUAUUGGAGCGGCCGAUGUCGGAUUAGCUAGUUGGUGGGGUAAAGGCUUACCAAGGCGACGAUCCGUAGCUGGUCUGAGAGGACGACCAGCCACACUGGGACUGAGACACGGCCCAGACUCCUACGGGAGGCAGCAGUGGGGAAUUUUGGACAAUGGGGGCAACCCUGAUCCAGCCAUGCCGCGUGCGGGAAGAAGGCCUUCGGGUUGUAAACCGCUUUUGUUCGGGAAGAAAUCCUCUGGGCUAAUACCCCGGGGGGAUGACGGUACCGGAAGAAUAAGCACCGGCUAACUACG
Molecule: ribosomal RNA, 482 nt
Filed under: uncultured bacterium
Lineage: Bacteria
Description: partial 16S ribosomal RNA
Rfam family: Bacterial small subunit ribosomal RNA
Source: RNAcentral